GAAGGUGGCACCUUAAAUGGUAUCUACUCUGUAAAAGUAGAGUGUAAGAAUCUGAUAUUCUUCAUCUUCA
Molecule: transfer RNA, 70 nt
Filed under: Pthirus pubis (crab louse)
Lineage: Eukaryota; Metazoa; Arthropoda; Insecta; Psocodea; Pthiridae
Description: tRNA-Tyr
Source: RNAcentral